GUYUUUAUGAAAAUAAUUUAAAGUCAGGCCUGCCCAAUGAUUUUUUUAAUGGCCGUGGUAUUUUGACCAUGCAAAGGUAGCAUAAUCAUUAGUUUUUUAAUUGAAAGCUGGAAUGAAGGGUUUGAUAAGAAAAUUUCUGUCUCAGAAUUAAAAAUUGAAUUUUAUAUUUAAGUUAAAAAGCUUAAAUAGAAUUAAAAGACGAGAAGACCCUAUAGAGUUUAAUAUAACUAAAAUUAAUAGUUUAAGAUUAAAGAGGUUAAUUUGAAUUUAUAUUUAAUUGGGGUGAUUAAAAAAUUUAAAGAACUUUUUUUUUUAUAUUAAACAUAGAUUUAUGAAUAAUUGAUCCAUAGAAAUGAUUAAAAGAUUAAAUUACCUUAGGGAUAACAGCGUAAUUUUUUUUAAUAGUUCAUAUUGAAAAAAAAGAUUGCGACCUCGAUGUUGGAUUAAAAUUAAAAAUUGGUGGAGAAGCUAGUUGAUUAAGUCUGUUCRACUUUUAAAAUUUUACA
This 506-nucleotide ribosomal RNA is filed under the name Trochoideus goudoti. RNAcentral's name for it is "partial 16S ribosomal RNA". Lineage: Eukaryota; Metazoa; Arthropoda; Insecta; Coleoptera; Endomychidae. The record is from RNAcentral.